AACGAACGCUGGCGGCAUGCCUAACACAUGCAAGUCGAACGAGACCUUCGGGUUUAGUGGCGCACGGGUGCGUAACGCGUGGGAACCUGCACUUAGGUUCGGAGUAACUCCCCGAAAGGGGUGCUAAUACCGGAUAAUGUCUUCGGACCAAAGAUCUAUCGCCUUUGGAUGGGCCCGCGUUGGAUUAGCUAGUUGGUAGGGUAAAAGCCUACCAAGGCGACGAUGCAUAGCUGGUCUGAGAGGAUGAUCAGCCACACUGGGACUGAGACACGGCCCAGACUCCUACGGGAGGCAGCAGUGGGGAAUAUUGGAGAAUGGGCGAAAGCCUGAUCCAGCAAUGCCGCGUGAGUGAUGAAGGCCUUAGGGUUGUAAAGCUCUUUUACCCGGGAUGAUAAUGACAGUACCGGGAGAAUAAGCUCCGGCUAACUCCGUG
RNAcentral lists this ribosomal RNA (433 nucleotides) under uncultured bacterium. Its description in RNAcentral is "partial 16S ribosomal RNA". It matches the Rfam family "Bacterial small subunit ribosomal RNA", at positions 29 to 507 of the family's 1533-position model. The record is from RNAcentral.